UAGGGAAUUUUUCACAAUGAGCGAAAGCUUGAUGGAGCAAUGCCGCGUGAACGAUGAAGGUCUUUAAGAUUGUAAAGUUCUUUUAUUUGGGAAGAAUGACUUUAGCAGGUAAUGGCUAGAGUUUGACUGUACCAUUUUGAAUAAGUGGCGACUAACUAUGUGCCAGCAGUCGCGGUAAUACAUAGGUCGCAAGCGUUAUCCGGAUUUAUUGGGCGUAAAGCAAGCGCAGGCGGAUUGAAAAGUCUGGUGUUAAAGGCAGCUGCUUAACAGUUGUAUGCAUUGGAAACUAUUAAUCUAGAGUGUGGUAGGGAGUUUUGGAAUUUCAUGUGGAGCGGUGAAAUGCGUAGAUAUAUGAAGGAACACCAGUGGCGAAGGCGAAAACUUAGGCCAUUACUGACGCUUAGGCUUGAAAGUGUGGGGAGCAAAUAGGAUUAGAUACCCUAGUAGUCCACACCGUAAACGAUAGAUACUAGCUGUCGGGGCGAUCCCCUCGGUAGUGAAGUUAACACAUUAAGUAUCUCGCCUGGGUAGUACAUUCGCAAGAAUG
RNAcentral lists this ribosomal RNA (547 nucleotides) under uncultured bacterium. Its description in RNAcentral is "bacterial SSU rRNA". It matches the Rfam family "Bacterial small subunit ribosomal RNA", at positions 355 to 896 of the family's 1533-position model. The record is from RNAcentral.